Long non-coding RNA from Manacus vitellinus (golden-collared manakin), 216 nucleotides. RefSeq lists it as uncharacterized. The transcript has 3 exons. NCBI's taxonomy places the organism in Eukaryota, Metazoa, Chordata, Aves, Passeriformes, Pipridae. The record is from RefSeq and is a predicted model, not a curated record.
AGGUUGAGCCCCGCCACCCUCUCGCCGUGGACGUUGGGCAGUGGGUCGAGGCAGCCGAGCUGCUCCAGGGAUGUUAUUCUUGACACCCCGGGGCAAAUGGAGGUAUUCACCUGGUCAGCGUCAGGAACCAUCCUAACUGGGGCCUUGGGUUCCUCUUUCCCUUCGGUCGCUGUGGGUGUGCCGGACGCCUCUGGCAGGACUAACCCUGUGGCUUUU